AUUGAACGCUGGCGGCAUGCCUUACACAUGCAAGUCGAACGGCAGCACGGGAGCAAUCCUGGUGGCGAGUGGCGAACGGGUGAGUAAAGUAUCGGAACGUGCCCAGUCGUGGGGGAUAACGUAGCGAAAGUUACGCUAAUACCGCAUACGAUCUAUGGAUGAAAGCGGGGGAUCGCAAGACCUCGCGCGAUUGGAGCGGCCGAUAUCAGAUUAGGUAGUUGGUGGGGUAAAGGCUCACCAAGCCGACGAUCUGUAGCUGGUCUGAGAGGACGACCAGCCACACUGGACUGGGACACGGCCCAGACUCCUACGGGAGGCAGCAGUGGGGAAUUUUGGACAAUGGGCGCAAGCCUGAUCCAGCCAUGCCGCGUGCAGGAUGAAGGCCUUCGGGUUGUAAACUGCUUUUGUACGGAACGAAAAGGUUUGACUUAAUACGUUGGACUCAUGACGGUACCGUAAGAAUAAGCACCGGCUAACUACGUGCCAGCCGCCGCCGUAA
This 499-nucleotide ribosomal RNA is filed under the name uncultured bacterium. RNAcentral describes it as "partial 16S ribosomal RNA". It matches the Rfam family "Bacterial small subunit ribosomal RNA", at positions 30 to 523 of the family's 1533-position model. The record is from RNAcentral.